GCCGGGUGCUGUGGCACGUGCCUGUAGUCCCAGCUACUCGGGAGGCUGAGGUGGGAGGAUCGCUUGAGCCCAGGAGUUCUGGGCUGUAGUGCGUUAUGCUGGGUGUCCGCACUAAGUUCAGCAUCAAUAUGGUGAACUCCUGGGAUCAGGGGACCACCAGGUUGCCUAAGGAGGGAUGAACCGGCCCAGGUCAGAAACGGAGCAGGUCAAAACUCCUGUGCUGAUCGUUAGUGGGAUCACGCCUAUGAAUAGCCACUGCACUCCAGCCUGGGCAAUGUAACAAGACUCCAUCUCU
RNAcentral lists this signal recognition particle RNA (295 nucleotides) under Aotus nancymaae (Ma's night monkey). Its description in RNAcentral is "Metazoan signal recognition particle RNA (ENSANAG00000009306.1)". It matches the Rfam family "Metazoan signal recognition particle RNA". From Rfam's summary of the family: The signal recognition particle (SRP) is a universally conserved ribonucleoprotein. It is involved in the co-translational targeting of proteins to membranes. Lineage: Eukaryota; Metazoa; Chordata; Mammalia; Primates; Aotidae. The record is from RNAcentral.